This 118-nucleotide ribosomal RNA is filed under the name Diaphorina citri (Asian citrus psyllid). The record is from RNAcentral. Lineage: Eukaryota; Metazoa; Arthropoda; Insecta; Hemiptera; Psyllidae.
ACCAGGGGCGAUAGAACGGUGAAUACACCAGUUCCCCACGGAUCACUGAAGUUAAGCAACGUUGCACGUGGUUAGUACCUGGAUGGGUGACCAUCUGGGGAAUCGCGUGCUGCUGGGU